ACAAGUUAGGUUGUAAGUGGACACAACUAAGGGAUGAAACUGGGACACAACUUACUGAAGAACUUACUCAAGCUACUCAAGCUACUCCACAAUCUGGAGGUGCCCCAAGGCCUAAUAAGCUGGGGGUAAGCUUUUUUAAAACCAACUUUUAAAACCAAUUUUUAAUAUUUAUUUGUAUAUUAUUUCACAUGUGGUUCUAUUCUACAGGUGAAAAGGAAAGAAAGGGGCCAAGGAAAGAAUUCUGGAUUUGGAAAUCAAACUGGGCAAAAAGAAGUAAGGAAUUGUAUAUUAUUUCAAUGCUUGUUGGCAGCUAAGCACUAAUUGGUUUUUUCAAUGUAGGUAAGGAAAAGCCCAAGACUAGCAACAAGUGAGACUGGAGCAGGUGCAGGGGAAGGGCAGCAAAGGGACC
This 409-nucleotide long non-coding RNA is filed under the name Panax ginseng (ginseng). RNAcentral's name for it is "long non-coding RNA (PGIN_LNC005378)". Lineage: Eukaryota; Viridiplantae; Streptophyta; Magnoliopsida; Apiales; Araliaceae. The record is from RNAcentral.